Small nucleolar RNA from Esox lucius (northern pike), 70 nucleotides. Its record names the gene SNORD24. It matches the Rfam family "Small nucleolar RNA SNORD24". From Rfam's summary of the family: U24 is a member of the C/D class of snoRNA which contain the C (UGAUGA) and D (CUGA) box motifs. C/D box snoRNAs have been shown to act as methylation guides for a number of RNA targets. U24 is encoded within an intron of the gene for ribosomal protein L7a in mammals, chicken and Fugu. The record is from Ensembl. Lineage: Eukaryota; Metazoa; Chordata; Actinopteri; Esociformes; Esocidae.
UGCAGAUGAUGUGAAAGAAUAUUUGCUAUCUUAACAGCAAUGCAGACAUUACACCAAUAUCACUGAUGCA